RNAcentral lists this ribosomal RNA (625 nucleotides) under Streptomyces sp. Sp080513KE-02. Its description in RNAcentral is "bacterial SSU rRNA". It matches the Rfam family "Bacterial small subunit ribosomal RNA", at positions 14 to 656 of the family's 1533-position model. The record is from RNAcentral. Lineage: Bacteria; Bacillati; Actinomycetota; Actinomycetes; Kitasatosporales; Streptomycetaceae.
UGAUCCUGGCUCAGGACGAACGCUGGCGGCGUGCUUAACACAUGCAAGUCGAACGAUGAACCACUUCGGUGGGGAUUAGUGGCGAACGGGUGAGUAACACGUGGGCAAUCUGCCCUGCACUCUGGGACAAGCCCUGGAAACGGGGUCUAAUACCGGAUAUGACCCUCGCAGGCAUCUGUGAGGGUGUAAAGCUCCGGCGGUGCAGGAUGAGCCCGCGGCCUAUCAGCUUGUUGGUGAGGUAACGGCUCACCAAGGCGACGACGGGUAGCCGGCCUGAGAGGGCGACCGGCCACACUGGGACUGAGACACGGCCCAGACUCCUACGGGAGGCAGCAGUGGGGAAUAUUGCACAAUGGGCGAAAGCCUGAUGCAGCGACGCCGCGUGAGGGAUGACGGCCUUCGGGUUGUAAACCUCUUUCAGCAGGGAAGAAGCGAAAGUGACGGUACCUGCAGAAGAAGCGCCGGCUAACUACGUGCCAGCAGCCGCGGUAAUACGUAGGGCGCAAGCGUUGUCCGGAAUUAUUGGGCGUAAAGAGCUCGUAGGCGGCUUGUCGCGUCGGUUGUGAAAGCCCGGGGCUUAACCCCGGGUCUGCAGUCGAUACGGGCAGGCUAGAGUUCGGUAGGG